RNAcentral lists this ribosomal RNA (397 nucleotides) under uncultured bacterium. RNAcentral describes it as "partial 16S ribosomal RNA". It matches the Rfam family "Bacterial small subunit ribosomal RNA", at positions 523 to 918 of the family's 1533-position model. The record is from RNAcentral.
AUACGUAGGGGGCGAGCGUUGUCCGGAAUGAUUGGGCGUAAAGGGCGCGUAGGCGGCCCGGUAAGUCUGGAGUGAAAGUCCUGUUUUUAAGAUGGGAAUUGCUUUGGAUACUGUCGGGCUUGAGUGCAGGAGAGGUAAGUGGAAUUCCCAGUGUAGCGGUGAAAUGCGUAGAGAUUGGGAGGAACACCAGUGGCGAAGGCGACUUACUGGACUGUAACUGACGCUGAGGCGCGAAAGUAUGGGGAGCAAACAGGAUUAGAUACCCUGGUAGUCCACACUGUAAACGAUGAAUGCUAGGUGUAGGGGGUAUCGACCCCUUCUGUGCCGCAGUCAACACAAUAAGCAUUCCGCCUGGGGAGUACGGCCGCAAGGUUGAAACUCAAAUGAAUUGACGGGG